AUGCCAGACAGUUUCGACACUUUGCAAAGACAAAGACCAGAGAAAGGAGGAAGAGGAGGACGAGGAGGAAGAGGAGGUGGGAGAGGAGGACGGACCGAUGUGAGCUGGGAAGGGGGCGAGUGUUCGGGACACCCCCCCUUUAUUCUCCCCGGAGCCCCUCAUCCCCAAAGCCGCGGAAACUCCAGCGUGUCUCCAGCUGCGCUGGGGACCAUUUUCAGAAUCAAACUUUCUGACCUGGAAAUGCCAAUAGAAGUAAUAAUCAUCGCCAGGAGCUGUGGUGAGCAAACACUUUGAGCUUUGUGGCCAGGACAGUUUCCUCUGUGGACCUGAGAUGGACAGUCCCCCAGCCUCCUGAGGUAAAUGACUGCCCUCUCCCCCAGCACGAGUGAGAGGUGUUGUCUUUUCUGGUUUCUUCCAUACAUUAACUUGAGUAGCAGGGGAGAGAUGUUCCCCUAUGUCUCGGUCUCUUUGUAAUUUGGCCUGCUCUCCCAGGGAUAUGCCAUUAAGAGGGAACACUUUCUACCUCAGGGAAAAAUGCACGGUCAUUAGAAUAUCAAGCAACCUGAUUUUCUUAAAAGGAAAGCCUUCUGUGUUCUCAUUAAACAAGUAGGUAGAAACUGAAUUAGGAACAGCCUCAUAUGACCAGUGCCGGCCAUCCCAAAGACAGUCUGGAAUGACACUGUCCUGGAAUGAGGGUUAGCAAUCAACUCUGACCCACAGGGCAAAACUGGCCCAGUCAUAUUUUAUAGAUCAUUUCUGUUGGUACCCAGCCACAUUCCUUCCUUCAGAUAUGUGUCACAGCACAACAGCGGUGGUGACGGGCUGUGUGGCCAGAAAGCCACAAAUAUUUACAGUCUGGUCCUUCAUGGAGAGAGUGUGCCAGCCCCUGGUCUAGAGCUAAGCUGCCCACAUGUAGCCACCCCAUGUGUGGCUAUUUAAAUUUUAAUUCGUUGAAAUUAAUCACAAUUAAAAAUUCAACCCUCAAUCAUGCUCACCACAUUUCAAGUGCUCAAUAGCCGUAUGUGACUCAUGGCUACCAUUUUGGACAGCACAUUGAGCAAGUUUCCAUCAGUGAGGAAGGCUGGCUUGGGGAAAUCUGUGGUCACCCUGGAACGCCUCUCUUCACUCUGAGUGUCUAACUCAGCUUGGAUAUAGUUGCCACCAUCGUGGAAGAAGGAAGGUUGGUCCAUGUAUGUGUGUGUGUGGCUGUUCUGUAUGAUUAUUGGUGAGGACAUCUAUCUAUUUAUCUACUUACCUAUCCAUAAAAAUGGAAUUACUUCUAAAAUUUCUUUGGACAGCCAAACUAUGGCCGCUGUAUAUGAGUCCAUGUAAAAACUAAGCCACUUGGACCUUGAGAUAUAUCAGUUUUAUAUAUGCAAAUAAGUUGAUACAAAUAUGAGUUUUUCUAUGGUCAUGGGAAGAUCAGAUACAGUAUAGGGCUUCCUGUAAAGGGAACGAAGCAAUGGCCAUAGUGUUCCUCAUGGGCUCAAGAUGGGGCGAGAGAGAUAAGAAACAGGGAGAGGAAGAAAGUAAGCUAAAGAUAUGGUGUUCGUGAGUCUUGGAAGAAUGAGGAAUGAUGGAGACAAAAGAUAACCAUGGGUUUACUUUCAAAGAAUGUGUUAAACAGAGUAAUAAUGAUUGGGACCUUAUCCCAUCUCAGAAUCGGGCUGAGCACAACCAUUCCUACAUAGCAGACCCAUGGGGAGAAGCUUGGACUUGGCAAUAGUCCCAUCAUCUUGGAUGGGUCAGGACUGGGGGUAUAGGAGCUCCAGUGGCGCAAUCGGUUAGCGCGCGGUACUUAUACAGGACUGGGGGUAUAAUAAGAGGUUCUACUUGUUGAAUAAGGCAGUGUGCAGUGCAGAAUAAGAGGGCCAGUCACUUAGCUGCAUAGCAUUUAUGGAUGGGUCCCAAGACGGAGCAGAGAAGAAACUCUAGGUGACCAGGAGGCCUAUAGGCAAAGGCCCCACAUUGUGUCUUUAGGAGCUGGGCUUUCUCCGCCGUGGGUUGCCCAAGAACUAGCAAGAACAGAGCAGAGAUUCAG
This 2041-nucleotide long non-coding RNA is filed under the name Zalophus californianus (California sea lion). RNAcentral describes it as "lncRNA (ENSZCAG00015004567.1)". Lineage: Eukaryota; Metazoa; Chordata; Mammalia; Carnivora; Otariidae. The record is from RNAcentral.